This 70-nucleotide transfer RNA is filed under the name Camelus bactrianus (Bactrian camel). It matches the Rfam family "tRNA". From Rfam's summary of the family: Transfer RNA (tRNA) molecules are approximately 80 nucleotides in length. Their secondary structure includes four short double-helical elements and three loops (D, anti-codon, and T loops). Further hydrogen bonds mediate the characteristic L-shaped molecular structure. tRNAs have two regions of fundamental functional importance: the anti-codon, which is responsible for specific mRNA codon recognition, and the 3' end, to which the tRNAs corresponding amino acid is attached (by aminoacyl-tRNA synthetases). tRNAs cope with the degeneracy of the genetic code in two manners: having more than one tRNA (with a specific anti-codon) for a particular amino acid; and 'wobble' base-pairing, i.e. permitting non-standard base-pairing at the 3rd anti-codon position. Lineage: Eukaryota; Metazoa; Chordata; Mammalia; Artiodactyla; Camelidae. RNAcentral also lists the same sequence under 2 other names. The record is from Rfam by way of RNAcentral.
GAGAGUAUAGCUCAGUGGUAGAGUAUGCUUAGCAGGCAUGAGGUCCUGGGUUCAAUCCCCAGUACCUCCU